UACGGAGGGUGGAAGCGUUGCUCGGAAUCACUGGGCGUAAAGCGUACGCAGGCGGCUCGUUAAGUCGGGUGUGAAAGCCCGGGGCUCAACCCCGGAAUUGCGCCCGAUACUGGCGAGCUUGAGUACGGGAGAGGGAUAGCGGAAUUCCUGGUGUAGAGGUGAAAUUCGUAGAUAUCAGGAGGAACACCAGUGGCGAAAGCGGCUUCCUGGCCCGAUACUGACGCUCAUGUACGAAAGCGUGGGGAGCAAACAGG
RNAcentral lists this ribosomal RNA (254 nucleotides) under uncultured bacterium. RNAcentral describes it as "partial 16S ribosomal RNA". It matches the Rfam family "Bacterial small subunit ribosomal RNA", at positions 524 to 776 of the family's 1533-position model. The record is from RNAcentral.